UGGGGAAUUUUGGACAAUGGGCGAAAGCCUGAUCCAGCUAUUCCGCGUGUGGGAUGAAGGCCCUCGGGUUGUAAACCACUUUUGUAGAGAACGAAAAGUUGUCCGAUAACACCGGACAAUGCUGACGGUACUCUAAGAAUAAGCACCGGCUAACUACGUGCCAGCAGCCGCGGUAAUACGUAGGGUGCGAGCGUUAAUCGGAAUUACUGGGCGUAAAGGGUGUGCAGGCGGUUCUGCAAGACAGAUGUGAAAGCCCCGGGCUUAACCUGGGAAUGCCAUCUGUGACUGCAGGACUAGAGUGUGUCAGAGGGGGGUGGAAUUCCAAGUGUAGCAGUGAAAUGCGUAGAUAUUUGGAAGAACACCGAUGGCGAAGGCAGCCCCCUGGGACAUUACUGACGCUCAUACACGAAAGCGUGGGGAGCAAACAGG
Molecule: ribosomal RNA, 429 nt
Filed under: uncultured bacterium
Lineage: Bacteria
Description: bacterial SSU rRNA
Rfam family: Bacterial small subunit ribosomal RNA
Source: RNAcentral